Molecule: ribosomal RNA, 460 nt
Filed under: Carlia munda
Lineage: Eukaryota; Metazoa; Chordata; Lepidosauria; Squamata; Scincidae
Description: partial 16S ribosomal RNA
Rfam family: Bacterial large subunit ribosomal RNA
Source: RNAcentral
GUAUUAAAGGUGUUGCCUGCCCAGUGAAAUAUUUUCAACGGCCGCGGUAUCCUAACCGUGCAAAGGUAGCGUAAUCACUUGUCUUUUAAAUAAAGACUCGUAUGAAAGGCUAAAUGAAGACAAACCUGUCUCUUAUAGUUGACCAGUUAAACUGAUCUUCAAGUACAAAAGCUUGAAUAAACCCAUAAGACGAGAAGACCCUGUGGAGCUUUAAACUGACACUAUCAACAAAUAGCCUAAGUUUUAAGUUGGGGCGACUUCGGAACAAAACAAAACUUCCGAGCACAGAGCCACACACUCCUACCCAGACCAACAAGUCAAAGCACAACAAUGACCCAGUCUCACUGAAUAUCGAACCAAGUUACCCCAGGGAUAACAGCGCCAUCUUCUUCAAGAGUUCAUAUCGACAAGAAGGUUUACGACCUCGAUGUUGGAUCAGGACACCCAAAUGGUGCAGCAG